UCGUUUGGGGGUUUGUUGGUUUGUUUGUGAUUCGAGAUGUUGAGUUUUGUAUUUCAUGUAUUCACUUCAUACUUGUUCGACCUGUAAAGUCGAUUUCUAAGGAGUAUCUCUGGUGCCAGUGACAGUCGCCGCUUGGACGCCCCACCACGCAGUUUGUCCCUGUUCCCCUCUGUUGCAAAAGGCCAUCCAGAGUUGAUCUUCCCCGCUGGCUGCUGUUGAGCGGCACAGGUUCUCGUUAAUGGAGCCUCGACGCCGCUAAGUCCCGGACGAGAGAUCUCCUUCGCCUCCUUGAUCAGCAAAGCCUCGAAAGGUGUGUGCCGCUAACCAACCACCUUGAGGCGUUAGUACAGCAACAGGCCAGGAGACUGCCACGCACCUUGCUGCCGUGAAUGCCAAGAAGCUUAAAACACAGACGGAGUGCAACAAAUCUUUUUAUUUAUUUAUUUAUUUUAUUUUUUUUACAUCAAUAAGUAUCGAUGAACAUUUACUCAAGAGUGUAAAAGUAAUGCUAAUGUUCGGACAAGUUGUAGGAAGAUUGAGGAAACACCAGCAACAGUGUCACUUCAUUGUAAUGAGUGUUAUGUUCGGACAAGUUGUAGGAAGAUUGAGGAAACACCAGCAACAGUGUCACUUCAUUGUUAAUAAGUGUUAUGUUCUGACAAGUUGUAGGAAGAUUGAGGAAACACCAGCAACAGUGUCACUUCAUUGUAAUAAGUGAGGAAACCGCGCCGCCACGGGUGAGGAAACCAACACAUUACCAGGUGCCACAAACACCUGGACUGUCGGCAGGGAUUAAGGAAAGGCCGCUGAGACGCUGGUGUGGUGCAAGCGUCAUGGCGAGCUGCUGCAGGUGGGUGUUCGUUGUUAACGUAGUUUUUUCUUAUUCGUCGUGGUAAAAAAUAAUAAUAAUAAGACAAACGGAUGCAGGCUGCUGGGGAGUAAUUUUCCGUUUUGCCCAAAACACUAAAAUAUAUUUAAUCUUUCUGCUUCACUUCGAGCAAGCGUAGAACCUCAGAAACGUAGAGCCUCACAAACGACUAUAUUCAAUUAAGUAAAUAUUUGUUCUCGUUCAUGGCAACAUAAGGGGACUCGGGGAGUCAUGGUGAGUUAGACAGAGACGCAUGUUGGGAGGCUGCACGAAACACGACAUAAGUUGGUGAAGCAGUAGUGACUUUCAUGCUGGUCUUCAGCUCUGCUCAUGUUGUACAUACGGACGUAUAUUUUCUUACUGGUACAAUAAUUGUGAAAGUUGAUAACAUUCAAAUCUUUCAAAUCUUCUCUUUAUAAACUUGCACUUUUUUCGGUGACUGCCACUCGCAAGAUUUAUGGCUUUGUUUCUGUUACUCGUAACUUUUAGCAGAACGACGAACGAUAUGGCCCACGUAAUGAGAGAUUAU
Molecule: long non-coding RNA, 1397 nt
Organism: Scylla paramamosain (green mud crab)
Lineage: Eukaryota; Metazoa; Arthropoda; Malacostraca; Decapoda; Portunidae
Exons: 4
Source: RefSeq, a predicted model, not a curated record